UUGACGGGGCCCGCACAAGCGGAGGAACAUGUGGUUUAAUUCGAUGCAACGCGAAAACCUUACCCACCUUUGACAUGGCAGGAAUCCUAAAGAGAUUUGGGAGUGCUCGAAAGAGAACCUGCACACAGGUGCUGCAUGGCUGUCGUCAGCUCGUGUCGUGAGAUGUUGGGUUAAGUCCCGCAACGAGCGCAACCCUUGCCAUUAGUUGCUACGAAAGGGCACUCUAAUGGGACUGCCGGUGACAAACCGGAGGAAGGUGGGGAUGACGUCAAGUCCUCAUGGCCCUUAUAGGUGGGGCUACACACGUCAUACAAUGGCCGGUACAGAGGGUAGCCAACCCGCGAGGGGGAGCCAAUCCCACAAAGCCGGUCGUAGUCCGGAUCGCAGUCUGCAACUCGACUGCGUGAAGUCGGAGUCGCUAGUAAUCGCAGAUCAGCAACGCUGCGGUGAAUACGUUCCCGGGCCUU
RNAcentral lists this ribosomal RNA (467 nucleotides) under uncultured Allobrachymonas sp. RNAcentral's name for it is "bacterial SSU rRNA". It matches the Rfam family "Bacterial small subunit ribosomal RNA", at positions 910 to 1382 of the family's 1533-position model. Lineage: Bacteria; Pseudomonadati; Pseudomonadota; Betaproteobacteria; Burkholderiales; Comamonadaceae. The record is from RNAcentral.